UUUUCGGACUCAGCCUGCCUGCACCAAGGGCUGAGGGAGCGUAUCCAAGGAAGGGCCAACUUGGAAGGGGUUCAGCCAAUCAGAUAGCAGCUCAGGAGUAUCUAACCUGCGAAGAUCUUAAUUAAGGCUUUGGCUUUCGACUUAAAAGUCUCCAUAAAGGAACGCUACGCAUCAUCCUGAAAAUAAAGAUCAAAGUCCACAGCCAGUGGUGAAGAAACAUUAAUAAGAGAAUCAGUCAGCCUAGUUUUUUUGAGGAAAUCUGUGCACAGAUCCCAAGUCUACACAUAAACCAAAAAGCCAAAGUAAAGUUAACUGUAUUUGAGCAGUGUGGGCAGCCCAGCCAGCCACAGUAACUGAAGCUGGAAGAAUUACUCCCUACACACAGGGCUCGUGUUCUCUAGAUCAACCAGACACAUCACAGACUCUGUUGUUGAGGUUCUUUCAUUUCCUCAGGCCAGUUAGCCCUUGGCAAGUAGCCAGAGCUGUACAUUAACUGCCCCUACAUUUUUAAAAUCAUUGCUUAUGAAUUUCUAUGUAUUAACUUAGAGAAAUGUAAUUCUAGUUCCCAUCUUAGAGGAAUGGUCUCUUCUUAAUGUCUUUGUGUUCUAAAUAUUUGAUCAUGUCAACAAAAAA
RNAcentral lists this non-coding RNA (633 nucleotides) under Pan troglodytes (chimpanzee). Lineage: Eukaryota; Metazoa; Chordata; Mammalia; Primates; Hominidae. The record is from RNAcentral.